Unclassified non-coding RNA from Erinaceus europaeus (western European hedgehog), 316 nucleotides. Its record names the gene 7SK. It matches the Rfam family "7SK RNA". Rfam says of the family: 7SK was discovered as an abundant small nuclear RNA in the mid-70s but a possible function has only recently been suggested. NCBI's taxonomy places the organism in Eukaryota, Metazoa, Chordata, Mammalia, Eulipotyphla, Erinaceidae. The record is from Ensembl.
GCAUGUGAAGGUGAUCUGGCUGCGACAUCUGUCACCCCAUUGAUCGCCAGGGUUGAUUCAGCUGAUCUGGCUGGCUAGGCGGGUGUCCCCUUUCUCCCUCACCACUCCAUGUGCAUCCCUCCCGAAGCUGCGUGUUCAGUCGACGGUCUUCCCCGAAUAGAGACGGACGACCGGUCUUCAGUCAAGGGUAUACGAGUAGCUCCGCUUCCCUGCUAGAACCUCCAAACAAGCUGUCAAGGGGAGAUAAAGUUACACUACUCAUUAAGAAAUUUAGUCAUGGGUGUCGGGCGGUUGUGCAGCGGGUUAAGCGUACAUU